UCUUUUAAUUGAAGGCUGGUAUGAAUGGCUGAAUAAAGUAUAAGCUGUCUUAUUUAAAUUAAUAAUUGAAUUUUAUUUUUUAGUCAAAAAGCUAAAAUACUAUUAAAGGACGAGAAGACCCUAUAAAGCUUUAUAAUUAUAUUUAUAUUAAUUAUUUAGAAGUUUUUGAUUUUUAUAUGUAUAAUUAUUUUAUUGGGGUGAUAUUAAAAUUUAAUUAACUUUUAUUAUUUAUUUACAUUUAUUUAUGAUUUUUUUGAUCCAGUUAUAUUGAUUAUAAAUUUAAGUUACUUUAGGGAUAACAGCGUAAUUUUUUUUGAGAGUUCUUAUCGAUAAAAAAGAUUGC
RNAcentral lists this ribosomal RNA (343 nucleotides) under Thaumalea bezzii. RNAcentral describes it as "partial 16S ribosomal RNA". Lineage: Eukaryota; Metazoa; Arthropoda; Insecta; Diptera; Thaumaleidae. The record is from RNAcentral.